UAUCAAUAAGCGGAGGAAAAGAAACCAACAGGGAUUGCCUCAGUAACUGCGAGUGAAGCGGCAAGAGCUCAAAUUUGAAAUCUGGCGUCUUUCGGCGUCCGAGUUGUAAUUUGGAGAGACGUCUUCGGGGAUGGGGCCGUCCUAAGUUCCUUGGAACAGGACGUCACAGAGGGUGAGAAUCCCGUGUUCGGGCGGCCACCCGUCUCCAUGUGAAGUGUCUUCGACGAGUCGAGUUGUUUGGGAAUGCAGCUCAAAAUGGGUGGUAAAUUUCAUCUAAAGCUAAAUAUUGGCGAGAGACCGAUAGCGCACAAGUAGAGUGAUCGAAAGAUGAAAAGCACUUUGAAAAGAGAGUUAAAAAGUACGUGAAAUUGUUGAAAGGGAAGCGCUCGAGACCAGACUCGUCUUUCACCGAUCAGCCGUGCUUCUGUGCGGUGCACUCGGGGUUUGUCGGGCCAGCAUCGGUUCCGGCGGUGGGAUAAAAGGCGAUGGAAUGUGGCUCCCUUCGGGGAGUGUUAUAGCCAACGUCACAAUGCCACCAGCUGGGACCGAGGAACGCGCUUCGGCGAGGAUGCUGGCGUAAUGGUCUUUAGCGACCCGUCUUGAAACACGGACCAAGGAGUCUAACAUCUAUGCGAGUGUUCGGGUGUAAAACCCCUGCGCGAAAUGAAAGUGAACGGAGGUGGGAACCCGCAAGGGUGCACCAUCGACCGAUCCUGAUGUCUUCGGAAGGAUUUGAGUAGGAGCAUAGCUGUUGGGACCCGAAAGAUGGUGAACUAUGCCUGAAUAGGGUGAAGCCAGAGGAAACUCUGGUGGAGGCUCGCAGCGGUUCUGACGUGCAAAUCGAUCGUCAAAUUUGGGUAUAGGGGCGAAAGACUAAUCGAACCAUCUAGUAGCUGGUUCCUGCCGAA
This 908-nucleotide ribosomal RNA is filed under the name Pyronemataceae sp. A2 TL-11605. RNAcentral describes it as "eukaryotic LSU rRNA". It matches the Rfam family "Eukaryotic large subunit ribosomal RNA", at positions 41 to 965 of the family's 3401-position model. Lineage: Eukaryota; Fungi; Ascomycota; Pezizomycetes; Pezizales; Pyronemataceae. The record is from RNAcentral.